GCCAAAACUAGCCCAAACAUCCAUAAAUUCAAUUAUCACAAAAUAAUAAAUCAAAACAUUUAGUUAACUCUUAAAAGUAUAGGAGAUAGAAAUUUAAUUUGGCGCUAUAGAGAUAGUACCGCAAGGGAAAGAUGAAAGAAAAUGUUAAAAGCAUAAUAUAGCAAAGAUUACCCCUUGUACCUUUUGCAUAAUGAGCUAGCUAGACAUAAUCUAACAAAGAGAACUUAAGCUAGAUACCCCGAAACCAGACGAGCUACCUAUGAACAAUCUUUUACAGGAUGAACUCAUCUAUGUCGCAAAAUAGUGAGAAGAUUUAUAGGUAGAGGUGAAACGCCUAACGAGCCUGGUGAUAGCUGGUUGCCCAGAAUAGAAUUUUAGUUCAACUUUAAACUUACCUAAAAAAAUCCACUAAUUCUAAUGUAAGUUUAAAAUAUAAUCUAAAAAGGUACAGCUUUUUAGAUUCAGGAUACAGCCUUUUUUAGUGAGUAAGCAUCAACAUAACCAUAGUUGGCUUAAAAGCAGCCAUCAAUUAAGAAAGCGUUCAAGCUCAACAAACAAAAUAACUUAAUUCCAAAAAUAUGCAACCAACCCCUAAUAUUGAUACUGGGCUAAUCUAUUUAAUUAUAGAAGAAAUAAUGCUAAUAUGAGUAACAAGAAAUAUUUUUCUCCUCGCAUAAGCUUAUAUCAGAACGGAUAACCACUGAUAGUUAACAGCAAGAUAUAAAUAACCCAACAAUAGACCUAAUAUCAACCUAACUGUUAACCCAACACAGGCAUGCAAUUAAGGAAAGAUUAAAAGAAGUAAAAGGAACUCGGCAAACACAAACCCCGCCUGUUUACCAAAAACAUCACCUCUAGCAUAUCCAGUAUUAGAGGCACUGCCUGCCCAGUGACAUUCGUUAAACGGCCGCGGUAUCCUGACCGUGCAAAGGUAGCAUAAUCACUUGUUCCCUAAAUAGGGACUCGUAUGAAUGGCCACACGAGGGUUUUACUGUCUCUUACUUCCAAUCCGUGAAAUUGACCUUCCCGUGAAGAGGCGGGAAUACAACAAUAAGACGAGAAGACCCUAUGGAGCUUCAAUUAACUGAUCCAAGGAGAUCAAUAUAUCCCGACAGGAACAAUAAUCCUCCCAAUGGAUCAACAAUUUAGGUUGGGGUGACCUCGGAGUACAAAAUAACCUCCGAAUGAUUUCUAAUCAAGACUAACCAGUCAAAAGUAUUACAUCAUUAAUUGACCCAAAACUAUUUGAUCAACGGAACAAGUUACCCUAGGGAUAACAGCGCAAUCCUAUUUUAGAGUCCAUAUCGACAAUAGGGUUUACGACCUCGAUGUUGGAUCAGGACAUCCCGAUGGUGCAGCAGCUAUCAAAGGUUCGUUUGUUCAACGAUUAAAGUCCUACGUGAUCUGAGUUCAGACCGGAGCAAUCCAGGUCGGUUUCUAUCUAUUAAACAGUUUCUCCCAGUACGAAAGGACAAGAGAAGCAAGGCCCACUUUACCAAAGCGCCUUCAACCCAAUAGAUGAUAUAAUCUUAAUCUAAACAGUUCCCCAUACACACUACCCGAGAGCUCGGGUCU
RNAcentral lists this ribosomal RNA (1575 nucleotides) under Paguma larvata (masked palm civet). RNAcentral describes it as "16S ribosomal RNA". It matches the Rfam family "Bacterial large subunit ribosomal RNA". The record is from RNAcentral. Lineage: Eukaryota; Metazoa; Chordata; Mammalia; Carnivora; Viverridae.